CACGAACCCAAACCUAUCUUCCAUUUCUCUCUCAUGCCUACAGUACUCUAAUCUCAUCGCCGUCUCUUAUUUUCUCCUCAAAUCCCCGACAUCGAUCGACACCCACAACGUGGGUUCCUUGAGUCUGGUAUGUUUUAGUUAAUCUCUUAGUUCUUUUGCUUGAUGAAAUUUGCUCAUUUUUUAAUUCUAAUAAUUAUGCAUAUAAAAUUUAUUAUUUGUUGUAAUUUGGAAGGGCUUCAACUAAAUGGAGAAAAGUGAGAUCUGAUAAAUUAUAUAGGUAAAAAUCAUUAUGGGUUUUGUUUUAUUUGUCUUUUUCCUGAGGUUUGGAUUCUUGAACAUUCGAAUUGCUUGUGCUUUUUCUAGUAAUAUUCUAUCGUCUUUUAGUAUUUUGAUUGCGAAGAAUCAUGAGGGCAGAAUCACCCCCUUCGUGAUUCUCAUUAGUAUAUCAUUUUUUUUACAGUUUUACAAAGAAUUUUUCCUUUGAAUAUGCUAUUAAUUGAUUUGAAAAGUUGGGUCUAUUUUGUUAUAUAAUUAGUUGAAAAAUGUUUGCUACUUUUAACCAUUGCUUUGUAUUAGCUUCUUGUUCCCUGGACUCUUAAUGAUUUGUUUUUCUAGUACUCAAUUACUGAAGCAAGUGAGCUAUGAAGGCCUAAAUGUUAUCGUACUAGUAUCUACUUUUUGUUAUAAAGAUCUUUUUUUUUUUUUUUUGUAAACUUGUUAUGAAGUUUAUGAUAAACUACUCAAUGUUGUUUGAUAUGAUAAUUAAUGUUGUUUUACUAUACCUUUUCUAACGAGCAUGGUAGUGUCAAUAACUUUUUUAUAACUUUAAUUAUCACUACAUUUGCCCCCAAAAUUUAAGAAUCUUGGCACUGCCCCUGACUAUACUCAUGUAUCAUGUGUUGAAAAUGAGGAAAUUAUUCAUGGUUGUUUGUGAGGAAACAUUUUUCGGUGUUGGUCUUAUGGUUUUGAGUAUGGAUUGAAGAUUGGAUAUGGUAGUGGUCUGUUUUCCGAAUAUCUUGUUUUCAAUAACCACUAAUUUAUAUUUAUUCUGUUUGUAUGGGCUGCAAAUAUCUUGGAUUUCUGGAUAUGGAAAUUUUUUCACUGAAUGGCUAGUUUUAGAAUUGUACAUUUGUCCCUGUUUUGAUGUUUGUUAGUACGGUCUAUCAUUAUACCAUUGCAUCUUAGUUUUGUGAAGAGAUUGUUUGUUUUCUGGAUAUGCCUACUUUAAUUAACUGCAUAUGGUCUGUUAUUGUCUCUUUUCAGUCAGCCUUCUUUGUAAAUUUAAUCUUUUUCUUUUGUUAAAUCUAGACUAUGAAUUUGAUUUGUGUUUGAACGCACUUGUAACUUUCUUGAUUGUUCUUGAGUUCUCUAAGAUUCAUUAGGCUUUAUGGGUAACUUUCUUUAUUAAAAGUAAAUCUUUUGAUUAUUGAUAGAAAUAGUACUAUUUUAAGGUAUUAGCAAUUUCUUUUUGACAAAGUGCAUGAUGAAUAGAUUAAUAUAUUAGUAAGGAGGAAAUGUAGUAUUGUGCAUAUUAUAUAUACCUUUUGUAAAAACAUUUUUCUAAUCUCUACAUAAAGAGAAGAAAUAAGACCAGCAACAUCGUAGGUAGCAAAUAGUUGUGUUCGAGAAGUCUUAGUUUAACAUGCUUUUAAUUAAGUUAUAAACUGAACCCUACAUUAUCAUCGUUUACAAUGCUAACCUUCGAGAAGUCUUAGUUUAACAUGCUUUUAAUUAUUUUGUAUGUAUAAUAGCUAAUGUUAUUCCAAAUUCUUUGUGUUGGCAGAUAUCUGGUUAUCUACCUAUAGUUAUAAAUUUGGGCUGAAUGAUGUAUGUAUAUGAAGUUCAUAUAUGUAUAAGUUGAUUGAUUUCUUGAUGUGGAUACAUAAUAGUUAGUUUUAAUCUUUUUUCAAGUGUGUUCAUAGGUCUAGGAUUGACCAUCUUGUUCCAAGACUUAAAAAGCCCCCUUCAAAUUGGGAAUUUUCAUCGUAUUGCAACUUGAUAACUUUAUAAUAUGAAUUUAUAAAUAAUCUAGAUUUAGAAAUCCUCAUCGGCAAGUAGAGAAUGUAAAAUAGAAUAUCUAAAAUCCUCUUACUGGAGUCCAAUUAGGCUUUUUUGUACUGCACUUUUCAAAUUUUUAGCAUAAAUGUUGAAGUUUACCACUUUGUAACUUUUCACUUGUCGCCCUUCUUUACUUUGGAUAUCACACAAUUACUUAUUAUUUCCUAUCUUAUGUUGAUAUGUCUCCUAGAUUCCGCAGGAUGUGUUCAAUCUACUUCCAAAUUUGAAUGCGUUUGAACUAAUUAAAGUUCUUGCAGGUAAAUUAGCUAGUAGUCAAUUGUUAUUUACAUUUUUUUUUCUCUUUUUUGACAACUGCAUUAUGCAUUAGGAUUCAUGAGGCCUAAAUGUUAUUAUGCCUAGGCACCAAGUACCAUUAAAAUGAAAGUUGAAAGCAUUUUCUUCAAAUAUAUAGUGUUCUUUUUUCUUAAAUUUGAAUUCCAAUUGCUUGAUUUGAAUAAAUUGAAGCAUCAAGUAGGUAGUAGCAUGUACUUAUUGAAGCCUCAGAGUGGAAAGUUAAAAGCAUUUUGUUCAUCUAUUUUUUUUCAUGAAAUCACUGAUAUAAAUGUUGUUUUCAUUUGUUUUGAUUUGUAGAUGAGUAUGAUACACCGAUAUAAAAUUUUGGAGGAGGAACGUGUUUUGGCCCAUGUGUCGCAAGUGAGCAACACAAAAUACAUAGCAGUUGUCCUCAACAAAUUGGAUUCGCAACAAAAACGUCAGUUGGAGGAGAGUUGUAUAGGACAUGUUGCAAGGUUAUCGGAGCCGAAAAUAUCCGCACAAUUAAUUCAUGAAAUGGUAAACAGAUCGGUGGUUUGCCGAAAGCGGUUUGAGGCUUGGUUCAAGGUAAACCAAAGGUUCGCACGAUUUAGAUUGCCAGAGUUCACAUUAAUCACCGACUUGAAGUGCGGUCCAGAGCCUAAAGGUACCUAAGUUGACAAAAUCCUAGAGAAAACCCGUUUACAGGACAGAAUGUUUGCUAAUAUAAAUCGGAUAACUUGUAGCAACUUGGAGAAAGUUUUCUUGAAAUGUGCCAACCGUAAUGAUUGUUACAAGCUUGGGUUUGCACUAAUUAUUGAAUGGGGUAUUUAAUUUAAGAGACCGAAAUGUAGGAAUACAUCCGACAACUCUCUCCAUCAUUGACAACUUUGAUUUCUUCAAUGGCUACUCAUAGGGGACGGUAUGUUUUCAACUUCUUAUCAAAUCACUGCUACGUAGAUGGGAAAGAAAGGCGGACAUGACAAAAGUGAACGAUUGUGAUAGGAUGACUUACACGUUGUACGGAUUUCCUCUUGCCCUCCAGGUAUACAUCUAUUUUGGUUCAUUUCAGUUCUUUUCAUCACACAUUGUUAUUUACCUCCGAAUAUGAUUAUUAUUGUUAUAAAUGUCAUGCAGGUUUGGGCGUAUGAGGCAAUCCCAGAGUUGGGAGCUCUAUUCUCGAGUAAGAUUUGUGACGAUGUUCCGAUGAUGUUGCGGUGGUCUGGCAGGAAAAAUCCUCAUUCCCGAACAUAUUCAAAUUUUUUUGAGAAGACAGAUGUGAGUGAUUUACAUACGUAAUUGCCUUACACUUUCGCAAUAUAUAAUAUUUAAUUUCGCUCAUUUUUCCUUUCCCUGUAGGUGCACUUGUGGGUAACACUGCGGGCAACUGCUGCAGAAGAAUUGUAACCGUACUUCGUUGAUCUAGUUCCGUUAGAAGAUGUAGCUGACCCCGUUCUAAAUAGUCUUGUUGCUCAAUCAAUAGAAAUACAAGCUUGUCUAGUUGAAGAUGAUGUUAUAUGGAACGAUGACAAUAACCAUUGACCAAAUAAAUCUCAGAGAGACGACAAAGGUGGACUUCAUCAUCGAGGUUUGCAUCACGUUGAAGGUAGAGAAGAAGAGCAUGGGGAUCCGAUCAUCGAAAGGCAUGUGUCUUUAAAUGAGAUAAGAGCUCUCUUGAACGAACAACGGGAGGCAUUUGAGAGCAAGAUGGGCAAUUUGAGGGAGGAGAUGAACACAAGAUUCGCUAGUCUCCAAAAUGAUCUAGGAGAUUAUGUGUGUGGUUUGAGAAAUCAUGUCACUGAUGAGAUAAAUAUGCUCUGACGAAGGUUUGAUGAAGUUGCAAUAGAAAUUGGGCAACACAAUGUUGCUGAUGAGUAUGAUGGAUUUGGUCAUAACGAUCGCGGUAGAGAUGAGCCCCAACCACGUGAUAUUUUUACUCCCAAUAUUUUUGCGGAUGACAGGAUGUCGGAGAGGCUAUCGAAGCAGUUGUUUGCAAUAUUCCUAAUGUGUCCAUAACGUCGAAAGGUGGGUUUGGAGUUCUUAGGUCAGUUUACGUCGCUUGUGAUAUUGUGGAGAAGGCACCAACCAUUGUACCUACAGCUGAUGCGUCCAUUGCUAGUCCACCUACACGCAGACCUCGAUCAUUCAGGUUGGGGUAAGAGGGAUGCGUAGUUUGUGUAUUUUGAUUGACGAUAGAUAAUGGUGAUUGGAUAUGAACUUUAUGUUGAUUCAAAUUAACUAGUUUGCAUAUUUUGAUUUGAUGUUUUGAUGCGCAAUAAGUAUUGUGGUUUAUAUGGUGGUAUUUGGUCAUGUAUUUUGGUACACUUGCAAUAUGAAAUAUCAAGCUUUAGGUUGAUUCAAAUUUAGUGGUUUGUAUUCUUUUGAUUUAUAUGGUGGUAUGCAAUAUGAACAUGGG
This 4726-nucleotide long non-coding RNA is filed under the name Olea europaea subsp. europaea. The record is from RNAcentral. Lineage: Eukaryota; Viridiplantae; Streptophyta; Magnoliopsida; Lamiales; Oleaceae.